CCGCCGCGGUAAUACCAGCAGUUCAAGUGGCAUCCAUUUUUAUUGGGUCUAAAACAUCCGUAGCUUGUUAAAUAAGUCUCUUGUAAAAUCCUAUAUCUCAAGUAUAGGUCUGGCAAGAGAUACUAUUUAGCUAGAGACCGGUAGAUGUAAGGAGUACGCUCAAGGUAAUGGUAAAAUAUGUUAAUCUUGGGUGGACUAACAAUUGGCGAAGGCACCUUACAAGGACGGAUCUGACAGUGAGGGAUGAAGGCCAGGGGCGCAAAACGGAUUAGAUACCCGUGUAGUCCUGGCAGUAAACACUGCUCACUAAACAUCGGUCUCUCUUCGGGAGAAAUCGGUGCUGAAGCGAAGGCGCAGAGUGAGCUACCUGGGAAGUAUAGUCGCAAGAUCGAAACUUAAAGGAAUUGGCGGGGAGACACACAACGAGUGACGCGUGCGGUUCAAUUAGAUUCUACACCGUGAACCUCACCAGGAGCGACAGCAGAAUGAAGGUCAGUCUAAAGGGCUUACCUGACGCGCUGAGCGGAGAUGCAUGGCCGACAUCAGCCUGUGCUGUGAAGUGACCUGUUAAAUCAGGUAACAGGCGAGACCCGUGUGCAUAAUUACUACCGAAAGGAGAACUUUAUGCAGACUGCCGUGGUAACACGGAGGAAGGUGCGGGCUAUGUCAGGUGAGUACGUCCCUAACCCCCUGGGCUACACGCGCGCGGCAAUGGUAAACUCAACGAGAUGCGACUCCGAGAGGAGAAGCUAAUCUCUUAACGUUUAUCUCAGUACAGAUUGAGGGUUGCAACCCACCCUCAUGACGAUGGAAUUCGAAGUAAUCGUCUGUUAGCAACAAACGGUGAAAAAGCCCCGGUCUCUUGCACUCACCGC
Molecule: ribosomal RNA, 875 nt
Filed under: uncultured archaeon
Lineage: Archaea
Description: bacterial SSU rRNA
Rfam family: Archaeal small subunit ribosomal RNA
Source: RNAcentral